CCUACGGGUGGCAGCAGUGGGGAAUAUUGCACAAUGGGGGAAACCCUGAUGCAGCGACGCCGCGUGAGUGAGGAAGUAUUUCGGUAUGUAAAGCUCUAUCAGCAGGGAAGAAAAUGACGGUACCUGACUAAGAAGCCCCGGCUAACUACGUGCCAGCAGCCGCGGUAAUACGUAGGGGGCAAGCGUUAUCCGGAUUUACUGGGUGUAAAGGGAGCGUAGACGGAUAAGCAAGUCUGAUGUGAAAAUCCGGGGCCCAACCCCGGAAUUGCAUUGGAAACUGCAUAUCUAGAGUGUCGGAGAGGCAAGUGGAAUUCCUGGUGUAGCGGUGAAAUGCGUAGAUAUCAGGAGGAACACCAGUGGCGAAGGCGGCUUGCUGGACGAUGACUGACGUUGAGGCUCGAAAGCGUGGGGAGCAAACAGGAUUAGAUACCCUGGUAG
This 438-nucleotide ribosomal RNA is filed under the name uncultured bacterium. Its description in RNAcentral is "bacterial SSU rRNA". It matches the Rfam family "Bacterial small subunit ribosomal RNA", at positions 338 to 793 of the family's 1533-position model. The record is from RNAcentral.